RNAcentral lists this small RNA (153 nucleotides) under Sinorhizobium meliloti 2011. RNAcentral's name for it is "putative ncRNA". Lineage: Bacteria; Pseudomonadati; Pseudomonadota; Alphaproteobacteria; Hyphomicrobiales; Rhizobiaceae. The record is from RNAcentral.
GAGUGGAAGUCGGCAAGGUGCGCCGUGGAAACGAAAGACCUUGCAGUCAAAUGGAUACUAGAAAACCCAGAACAGCUUGUAUCGAGUCUUUCGUCGCGCAUCGUUCCAACACAUUCUAAAGAACUUCAUCCGCGUCGACCAGCUGACGUCUGG